CCUACGGGGCGCUGCAGUGGGGAAUAUUGGACAAUGGGCGAAAGCCUGAUCCAGCCAUGCCGCGUGUGUGAAGAAGGCCUUCGGGUUGUAAAGCACUUUCAGUGGGGAAGAAAGCCUUGGGGCUAAUACCCUCGAGGAAGGACAUCACCCACAGAAGAAGCACCGGCUAACUCCGUGCCAGCAGCCGCGGUAAUACGGAGGGUGCGAGCGUUAAUCGGAAUUACUGGGCGUAAAGCGCGCGUAGGCGGUCUGAUAAGCCGGUUGUGAAAGCCCCGGGCUCAACCUGGGAACGGCAUCCGGAACUGUCAGGCUAGAGUGCAGGAGAGGAAGGUAGAAUUCCCGGUGUAGCGGUGAAAUGCGUAGAGAUCGGGAGGAAUGCCAGUGGCGAAGGCGGCCUUCUGGACUGACACUGACGCUGAGGUGCGAAAGCGUGGGUAGCAAACAGGAUUAGAUACCCGGGUAGUC
This 465-nucleotide ribosomal RNA is filed under the name Vreelandella stevensii. Its description in RNAcentral is "partial 16S ribosomal RNA". It matches the Rfam family "Bacterial small subunit ribosomal RNA", at positions 338 to 795 of the family's 1533-position model. The record is from RNAcentral. Lineage: Bacteria; Pseudomonadati; Pseudomonadota; Gammaproteobacteria; Oceanospirillales; Halomonadaceae.